GUGGCCCAUGUAUGAAGGAUAGGAUACACCCCAGGUCUGUAAUGAUGUAUUUGGAUGUUUGCAGCUCGAUGAUGUAAAUACACUUACAGGCCUGGUGUGCAGCAGGUUGACAGUUAGUAUG
Melanotaenia boesemani (Boeseman's rainbowfish) is the source of this 121-nucleotide long non-coding RNA. RefSeq lists it as uncharacterized. Lineage: Eukaryota; Metazoa; Chordata; Actinopteri; Atheriniformes; Melanotaeniidae. The transcript has 3 exons. The record is from RefSeq and is a predicted model, not a curated record.